RNAcentral lists this ribosomal RNA (292 nucleotides) under uncultured bacterium. Its description in RNAcentral is "partial 16S ribosomal RNA". The record is from RNAcentral.
GGACUACACGGGUUUCUAAUCCUGUUCGCUCCCCACGCUUUCGUGCCUUAGCGUCAGAUACAUGCCAGCAAGCUGCCUUCGCCAUUGGUGUUCCUACUGAUAUCUACGCAUUUCACUGCUACACCAGUAAUUCCACUUGCCUCUCAUGUCCUCUAGUAAUUCCGUAUGCAAUAACGUUGUAUGGUUGAGCCACACAAUUUAGCAUUACACGUGAAUUACCACCUACGCACGCUUUACGCCCAGUGAUUCCGGAUAACGCUUGGACCCUACGUAUUACCGCGGCUGCUGGCAC